Molecule: transfer RNA, 487 nt
Filed under: uncultured cyanobacterium
Lineage: Bacteria; Bacillati; Cyanobacteriota
Description: partial contains 16S-23S ribosomal RNA intergenic spacer and 23S ribosomal RNA
Rfam family: tRNA (bases 94-166)
Source: RNAcentral
UUUUCCUGGGCCAUUAGCUCAGGUGGUUAGAGCGCACCCCUGAUAAGGGUGAGGUCCCUGGUUCAAGUCCAGGAUGGCCCAUAUCUCUAUGUUGGGGGUAUAGCUCAGUUGGUAGAGCGCCUGCUUUGCAAGCAGGAUGUCAGCGGUUCGAGUCCGCUUACCUCCACUGAAUACCACCACUUACAUAUAUUUAAAGAGGGAAAUUGUUAUGAGUCGUGUCCUAAUUUGCUCUGAGCGAAUCUAGCUUCCUAUUUUUAUUCAAUAAAUAAGAUGCUGGACUCAUUGAAUUUUUUUUCAUUGUUUUCAGAGAACCUUGACAACUGCAUAGAUUAUUUUGAAGACAAUAAGCAUCUUUAAUGAUGCAGAUUUAUUAUUUGUGCGAAUGCAUUAAAUAACAAUUCUAUUAAGCUGAUGCUUCAAUUAUUGAAGUUAUUGGUCAAGCUACAAAGGGCUCACGGAGAAUACCUAGGCACACAGAGGCGAUGAA